Molecule: ribosomal RNA, 116 nt
Filed under: Sordariomycetidae sp.
Lineage: Eukaryota; Fungi; Ascomycota; Sordariomycetes
Description: partial small subunit ribosomal RNA
Rfam family: Eukaryotic small subunit ribosomal RNA
Source: RNAcentral
CGUUGAUUACGUCCCUGCCCGUUGUACACACCGCCCGUCGCUACUACCGAUUGAAUGGCUCAGUGAGGCUUUCGGACUGGCCCAGAGAGGUCGGCAACGACCACUCAGGGCCGGAA